This 435-nucleotide unclassified non-coding RNA is filed under the name Schizosaccharomyces pombe (fission yeast). Its description in RNAcentral is "non-coding RNA, poly(A)-bearing (predicted)". Lineage: Eukaryota; Fungi; Ascomycota; Schizosaccharomycetes; Schizosaccharomycetales; Schizosaccharomycetaceae. The record is from RNAcentral.
AUUUCCUAUUUGCAUGUAAUUUAAGGUCCAUUUUCUAAACAUUAAGAAGCUCAUCGGUUUCACAAUCGGGGUUACCUCUAGAAUCUAUUUGGGGCAAUCUAAUUUCAGUUAAUUUCAAUUGUAACUCCAAAUCACUUUACUGAAUUGUAAAUCGGUUUACUGAAUUGUUAUUUCCAGUACAUGGUCUCUCAUAAUUUUAUUUAUACUAUCUAUCUGGUUAUGCAGCUCUUGGAAAUUAUUAAAACAAAUGCCAUAAUUGCUGGAUGUCAUUUUUUUCUUUGGUCUUUUUUUUUUCAUUUUUCUUACUCUAUAGAAUUUUUUUGUGCAGUUGACUUUCUUCAAAACGUUUUUCAACUUUUCUAUAUGCAUAUUUAAUGACUAAAUCAGCAUGUAGAAAUGGUAGAGUAAUAAAUUAAUGAAAGUUAUUAAUUGACC